GACGAACGCUGGCGGCGUGCCUAAUACAUGCAAGUAGAACGCUGAAGAGAGGAGCUUGCUCUUCUUGGAUGAGUUGCGAACGGGUGAGUAUCGCGUAGGUAACCUGCCUGGUAGCGGGGGAUAACUAUUGGAAACGAUAGCUAAUACCGCAUAAAAUUGAUUAUUGCAUGAUAAUUAAUUGAAAGAUGCAACUGCAUCACUACCAGAUGGACCUGCGUUGUAUUAGCUAGUUGGUGAGGUAACGGCUCACCAAGGCGACGAUACAUAGCCGACCUGAGAGGGUGAUCGGCCACACUGGGACUGAGACACGGCCCAGACUCCUACGGGAGGCAGCAGUAGGGAAUCUUCGGCAAUGGGGGGAACCCUGACCGAGCAACGCCGCGUGAGUGAAGAAGGUUUUCGGAUCGUAAAGCUCUGUUGUAAGAGAAGAACGGGUGUGAGAGUGGAAAGUUCACACUGUGACGGUAUCUUACCAGAAAGGGACGGCUAACUACGUG
RNAcentral lists this ribosomal RNA (497 nucleotides) under uncultured bacterium. RNAcentral's name for it is "partial 16S ribosomal RNA". It matches the Rfam family "Bacterial small subunit ribosomal RNA", at positions 28 to 507 of the family's 1533-position model. The record is from RNAcentral.